This 405-nucleotide ribosomal RNA is filed under the name uncultured bacterium. RNAcentral describes it as "partial 16S ribosomal RNA". It matches the Rfam family "Bacterial small subunit ribosomal RNA", at positions 28 to 526 of the family's 1533-position model. The record is from RNAcentral.
GACGAACGCUGGCGGCGUGCUUAACACAUGCAAGUCGAGCGGAGCGGCGAACGGGUGAGUAACGCGUGAGUAACUGCCCCCCUCUCUGGGAUAACAGUUGGAAAAGGCUACUAAUACCGGAUAGUGGGGGAUGACUCGACUCCUAUGAGCUUGUUGGUGGGGUAGUGGCCUACCAAGGCGACGACGGGUAGCCGGCCUGAGAGGGCGACCGGCCACAUGGGGCUGAGGUACGGCCCAAACUGCGACGGGAGGAAGCAGGGGGGAAUAUGCCGCAAUGGGGGAAAACCUGAUGCAGAAACGCCGCGUGCGGGAUGACGGAAUUCGGGUUGUAAACCGCUUGCAGCCAUGACGCGGUAGUGGCAGAAGAAGCACCGGCUAACUACGGGACAGCAGCCGCGGUAAUUC